This 237-nucleotide ribosomal RNA is filed under the name uncultured bacterium. RNAcentral's name for it is "partial 16S ribosomal RNA". It matches the Rfam family "Bacterial small subunit ribosomal RNA", at positions 112 to 334 of the family's 1533-position model. The record is from RNAcentral.
AUCGCGUGGGUAAUCUAUCUUGAGUGGGGGAUAGCCUCGGGAAACCGAGGGUAAUACCGCAUGAGUCCUCAAUGACAUAAGUCGAUGAGGGGAAAGGCGGGGCUCCUUCGGGACCUGUCGCCUCUAGAUGAGCCCGCGUUCGAUUAGCUAGUUGGUGGGGUAAUGGCCUACCAAGGCAACGAUCGAUAGCCGGCCUGAGAGGGUGAACGGCCACAUUGGGACUGAGACACGGCCCAG